RNAcentral lists this ribosomal RNA (393 nucleotides) under uncultured bacterium. RNAcentral's name for it is "partial 16S ribosomal RNA". It matches the Rfam family "Bacterial small subunit ribosomal RNA", at positions 523 to 918 of the family's 1533-position model. The record is from RNAcentral.
AUACGGAGGACGCGAGCGUUAUCCGGAUUCAUUGGGUUUAAAGGGUGCGCAGGCGGCCGUGCAAGUCAGCGGUGAAAGCCCGGGGCUCAACCCCGGAAGUGCCGUUGAUACUGCAUGGCUGGAAUGCGGUCGAGGCGGGCGGAACGUGGCGGGUUGAGGUGAAAUGCGUAGAUAUGCCACAGAACGCCGAUAGCGGAGGCAGCUCGCCAGGCCUGCAUUGACGCUCGGGCACGAAAGCGUGGGGAUCGAACAGGAUUAGAUACCCUGGUAGUCCACGCCGUAAACGAUGGGCGCUCGUCGUCGGCGGCAGACAGUCGGCGGCCAAGCGAAAGCGAUAAGCGCCCCACCUGGGGAGUACGGUCGCAAGGCUGAAACUCAAAUGAAUUGACGGGG